AGCCGGAGCUUCUUCUGCGGGUACCGUCAUUAUCUUCCCCGCUGAAAGGGGUUUACAACCCUAAGGCCUUCUUCACCCACGCGGCAUGGCUGGAUCAGGCUUUCGCCCAUUGUCCAAUAUUCCC
RNAcentral lists this ribosomal RNA (124 nucleotides) under uncultured bacterium. RNAcentral describes it as "partial 16S ribosomal RNA". The record is from RNAcentral.